This 3027-nucleotide long non-coding RNA is filed under the name Helianthus annuus (common sunflower). RNAcentral's name for it is "hypothetical non coding rna". The record is from RNAcentral. Lineage: Eukaryota; Viridiplantae; Streptophyta; Magnoliopsida; Asterales; Asteraceae.
GAACUUCUCUUCUAAUGUCAUAAUCUAUCAAACUCUCCCAAAAAUUAAUAGGCAUCCUUCCAAUUUCCAUAAGAUUCUUGUCCAAUGCCUAGAUUUAUCAUCCCUCAAUGUUGCAGCAUGGUUCAUUUCUACUAUCAAGUGCAUAAUUUCUACCAAGUUGGACGUCACACCACCACAAGUCUUAUCACAGUCGUUGCUUCCAUUUUGGCCCACCAACAUUAACAUGCUAUGGGUAUAUACCAUGUUCGACACUCCAACACGCUCCCCUCCGCUUCCUACACAUGUUGACCCGCUACCAUCGCAAGCCACCACAAUUACCAUGUUUGAGUAAUAUCCAUCGUUGAUCCGUCGCUAAUCCCUUGCUAAAGUCAUAGGUAAGGUGCCAGUAAAUUCAUUACUCAUGUCAUAUUUUUAAUUUUUCGACAAAGUAUCACCAAUUGAUCACCGACAACUCACUUUCACCAAGAGAUUUCCGAUGUAUACAUCAAUAGUUGAAAGCCCUCAAAAGAAUAUAGUAGAAGUUCAUGCAAUAAUAAUUAGUGUUUUUUGACACAUUUAAGCAUCUUUGAUUGCUUUAUCAAAAAAAAAAAAAAAAAAAUCUCUCAAUUAAGAAAUAAAUAAAGUUCAUUGUUAGCGUGUGGUAAUAAUAUUAGGAACAUAAUUUGUUAUAAUUAGGUUAUAGAAAUUGACAUUUGAAAGCGACAUGGGGGAAAAAUGAUGUUUGUGGCAUAAGUCGAAAAUGGUUGCAAGAAUUCUAUAAACUACUCAUCAUGAGACCCCCAUUAUUUCAAAUCCCACCCAUUCACAAGGUCCUUAUUACUUCUUUCUAGAAGUCCAGUUGUGGAUGUUUAACUUAACUUUAGAUUUAUCGCACGUUUGAGGCCACUUAACUUUAGAUUUAUCGCACGUUUGAGGCCAGUUUAACUAUUAAUGAUGAAAUACCGAUGUAAGUUAUCGUACUUAUGUACAUACAGAGAUACACUUCGGGAUAAUGUACACACAUAAACAAGUAUAUGGGGUGCAUACACACAUAAAUGAAUGAGAAAAGUGUCCGAAUAGUCUUUGUGGUUUAUUCCGUUUUCAACUAUAGUUCCUACACUUCUAAAAUCAUAGCUAUAGUCCCUAAAGCGUCUUCACAACCACAGCCACUAAGACCAUGUGUAGUGGUUUAGCUCAAUAAUGCCCCCAGCAUGGGGCGUUUUGCGACACGUGGAAGUCCAGUCAACAUGGGGGAUUAUUGGGGGUUAUUGCAAAAGUGGCGUAGUGGGAAUAAUGCCCAAAAACGCCCCUUCCAUUAAUUACACAAUAAUUUUUUUUUAAUUAAAUAAUGCAAAAGUUUCCCAUUGGUCAGUCAACCCUUCCACAAUCCCUUUUACGCGUUUUUUUAAACACGCCAAUCCAAUUUUUUUUUCAAAAAUAAUGCCCAAAAACGCCCUAUGUAAUGGGGGUGCGGUUUUUUUGAAAAUAAUGCCCCAUUACGGAUGGUCUAAUCAUGAACAGAUCUCAAACAAAUUGAAACAAGCCUACAACUCUUCACUUGUAACCAAAUCGGAAUAACCAAAUCAACACCACUGAUCUCCGGCGACAUCGUCUUCACCACCACCGCCAUUAGUCUCGUGCAACACAUCUCCUCCUCCAUCAAUGCACCACAGCAAGUCCCCUGAAUCGGUUGGAAUAACCAAAUCGGCGACCACUUAUCGCCGGAAAAGCUUUUUAGCUGUCGGAGUGUGUGAGUUACAGGUGAAGGGUUGUUUCAGAUCGGUUUGUUUGAGAAUGUGUAUGGGUUGAAGGCUAGUGAUGAGAACAAGGUGAAGGUGUAUGGUAAGGAUUUUAUCGGGUGGGCGAAACCGGAGGUUGCGGAUUAGUUUGGGGGGAAGAAGAUGGUGAGGUGUGGAGGACACCGGUUAGGGAUGGUGGUGGGAAUGAAUGUUGGAGUCGUUUGAAGGCGAUGCAAAUGAUGGUGGGAUACAAAGUGUGGCAUUAGGCUGCAAAUGUGUAGGUUGUGAAGAAAUUUAGCCUUGAGAUUAAUGGAAAAGGUGUUUAUGUUAAGUUUGAUAACAAUUGUGGUGAUUUACGGUGAUGAUCUUUGUCGGAGGAGAUGGUGGUGAUUUACGAUGGCCGCGGUGGUGGACGGUGGUGUUAAGUUUUGGGUGGCGGUUUUAGAGUUGGGGUGAAGGAGAUGAAGAAGGGGAAAGUGGGUCUAAUUUUUAUAUUUAAAUAAUAGUGGUGGGCUCCAUUUAUCUUUAUAAAUGAUUAAUUAAUAUUUUAUUUUUUAAUGAAGGGUAAAUUUUGUCAAUCACACCAACUUAAUUGAGAAAACUAACCCUCAUCAGCGUCAGGGACUAUCCGACAACGAAAGUGCAAAAGUUAGGGACUAUAGCUGUAAUUUUAGAAGUGUAGGGAUUAUAGGUGAAAACGAAGCAAACCAUUGGGACUAUCCGGACACUUUUCUCUAAAUGAAUAUUGAUUAAUAUAAUACUUGGCUAAAUUGCACUUUUCUCUAAGCCCCAUACCCUAUUGGCUUGUGAUGGCGUGGGGCUAGGGACUAUUCGAACACUGCCACCACCACAUCACAACCUAUCACCACCACCCCGUGAUAACCUAUCACCGCCACCACCACAUCACAACCUAUCACCAGCACCCCGUCAUAACCUAUCACCGCCACACCACACCACACUACACCACAUCACAAUUUAUCACCAUGACCACCCUAUCACAACCUAUCACCACCACCAUCAAAUUUGAGCACCAUCACCAUCAAAUCGAACACCACUAUCCCCACACUAUCACAAGCCAAUAGGGUAAAAUACCUUUUAAGUAAAUAGGGUAAAAGGAACAACUUGCCCUCGUGUGUGAUGUACAUGCUCAAACUUAACCCCAAAAUUUAACUUGGUUAAUUACUGCAAAAAGACACCGUUUGUUGACAAGUGUAAACUUAAAGGACAGUUAGCGUAGACAGUUAAAAAACACGGUCUGAUGAAAUGUUCGAACACAAUGAACGAAAAGUGCAAUUUAACGAUAAUACUU